RNAcentral lists this ribosomal RNA (1058 nucleotides) under Pseudomonas plecoglossicida. RNAcentral describes it as "bacterial SSU rRNA". It matches the Rfam family "Bacterial small subunit ribosomal RNA", at positions 36 to 1113 of the family's 1533-position model. Lineage: Bacteria; Pseudomonadati; Pseudomonadota; Gammaproteobacteria; Pseudomonadales; Pseudomonadaceae. The record is from RNAcentral.
CUGUCGAGGCUACCAUGCAAGUCGAGCGGAUGACGGGAGCUUGCUCCUUGAUUCAGCGGCGGACGGGUGAGUAAUGCCUAGGAAUCUGCCUGGUAGUGGGGGACAACGUUUCGAAAGGAACGCUAAUACCGCAUACGUCCUACGGGAGAAAGCAGGGGACCUUCGGGCCUUGCGCUAUCAGAUGAGCCUAGGUCGGAUUAGCUAGUUGGUGGGGUAAUGGCUCACCAAGGCGACGAUCCGUAACUGGUCUGAGAGGAUGAUCAGUCACACUGGAACUGAGACACGGUCCAGACUCCUACGGGAGGCAGCAGUGGGGAAUAUUGGACAAUGGGCGAAAGCCUGAUCCAGCCAUGCCGCGUGUGUGAAGAAGGUCUUCGGAUUGUAAAGCACUUUAAGUUGGGAGGAAGGGCAGUAAGCUAAUACCUUGCUGUUUUGACGUUACCGACAGAAUAAGCACCGGCUAACUCUGUGCCAGCAGCCGCGGUAAUACAGAGGGUGCAAGCGUUAAUCGGAAUUACUGGGCGUAAAGCGCGCGUAGGUGGUUCGUUAAGUUGGAUGUGAAAGCCCCGGGCUCAACCUGGGAACUGCAUCCAAAACUGGCGAGCUAGAGUACGGUAGAGGGUGGUGGAAUUUCCUGUGUAGCGGUGAAAUGCGUAGAUAUAGGAAGGAACACCAGUGGCGAAGGCGACCACCUGGACUGAUACUGACACUGAGGUGCGAAAGCGUGGGGAGCAAACAGGAUUAGAUACCCUGGUAGUCCACGCCGUAAACGAUGUCAACUAGCCGUUGGAAUCCUUGAGAUUUUAGUGGCGCAGCUAACGCAUUAAGUUGACCGCCUGGGGAGUACGGCCGCAAGGUUAAAACUCAAAUGAAUUGACGGGGGCCCGCACAAGCGGUGGAACAUGUGGUUAAUUCGAAGCACGCGAAGACCUUACAGGCCUUGACUGCAAAGACUUUCCGAGAGGAUUGGUGCUUCGGGACUCUGACCAAGGGCUGCUGGCUGUCUCCACUCGGGCCUGAGAUGUGGGUUAGUCCCGAACAACGCACCCUUGCCUUAU